This 492-nucleotide ribosomal RNA is filed under the name uncultured bacterium. RNAcentral describes it as "partial 16S ribosomal RNA". It matches the Rfam family "Bacterial small subunit ribosomal RNA", at positions 29 to 507 of the family's 1533-position model. The record is from RNAcentral.
AGUGAACGCUGGCGGUAGGCCUAACACAUGCAAGUCGAACGGCAGCACAGUAAGAGCUUGCUCUUACGGGUGGCGAGUGGCGGACGGGUGAGGAAUACAUCGGAAUCUACUUUUUCGUGGGGGAUAACGUAGGGAAACUUACGCUAAUACCGCAUACGACCUACGGGUGAAAGCAGGGGAUAUUCGGACCUUGCGCGAUUGAAUGAGCCGAUGUCGGAUUAGCUAGUUGGCGGGGUAAAGGCCCACCAAGGCGACGAUCCGUAGCUGGUCGGAGAGGAUGAUCGGCCGCACUGGAACUUGAACACGGUCCAGACUCCUACGGGAGGCAGCAGUGGGGAAUAUUGGGCAAUAGGCGCAAGCCUGAUCCAGCCAUACCGCGUGGGUGAAGAAGGCCUUCGGGUUGUAAAGCCCUUUUGUUGGGAAAGAAAAGCAGCAGGUUAAUACCCCGCUGUUCUGACGGUACCCAAAGAAUAAGCACCGGCUAACUUCGUG